Molecule: transfer RNA, 72 nt
Filed under: Plutella xylostella (diamondback moth)
Lineage: Eukaryota; Metazoa; Arthropoda; Insecta; Lepidoptera; Plutellidae
Description: tRNA-Glu
Source: RNAcentral
GAUGGUAGCUCAGUCGGGUAAGCGCCCGCUUCUCACGCCAGAGAUGCGGGUUCGAAUCCCGGCGCUGUACCA